Molecule: unclassified non-coding RNA, 324 nt
Filed under: Basidiomycota sp.
Lineage: Eukaryota; Fungi; Basidiomycota
Description: partial contains small subunit ribosomal RNA, internal transcribed spacer 1, and 5.8S ribosomal RNA
Rfam family: Eukaryotic small subunit ribosomal RNA (bases 1-47)
Source: RNAcentral
AAAGUCGUAACAAGGUUUCCGUAGGUGAACCUGCGGAAGGAUCAUUAUCGAAUUUAAAGCUUGGUUGAGCUGUCGCUUCGGCGUACGUGCUCGCCUCGCCGUCCAUUCUCAACACCUGUGCACACUCAAGUCUUUGUCUUUUACUGCCUAUCGCUUUUUCUUCUUAACUGAGGGAGAAGUGAGAAAGUGGGAAUGGGAUGAAGGCUGCCUUUUAACACACCCUUCUUUUAAAAUGUCUAUGAACGUCAAAUGUAGGCUCGCCUUAAAAACGUGAUGCUGAAAUUAAAAUUAAUACAACUUUUAACAACGGAUCUCUUGGCUCUC